GGCCAGGUGGCGGAGUGGUUAACGCGGUAGACUCGAAUUAGCCUCCAUGUGAGGCUUCAAAGCGAUCUACUUCCUUCGGGAGCGUCUGUUCGAAUCAGGCCCUGGUCG
Non-coding RNA from Xylaria intraflava, 108 nucleotides. Lineage: Eukaryota; Fungi; Ascomycota; Sordariomycetes; Xylariales; Xylariaceae. The record is from the annotation of a GenBank genome assembly.